Molecule: long non-coding RNA, 261 nt
Organism: Rana temporaria (common frog)
Lineage: Eukaryota; Metazoa; Chordata; Amphibia; Anura; Ranidae
Exons: 3
Source: RefSeq, a predicted model, not a curated record
GAAGUAGAGAGGAGACAUUGCAGGAACUGGCAGUAGAGGAGUUAUGAGGUCUGGCCUACCCUCUGAUCCAACCACGGUUUUGAAGGAGACAGCUGAUUUAUAAAUACAGCUUCACAGGACAUCACCCAUCACAGCGCCUCCAUCUCACUGCCUGACAACAGAGGUAACCAGUGCCACGGAGAUUCUGGAAGUCACUCAGAAGAUCAUUGAGUUGCUGACAGGAGAGGUUCCUAUAAGGUGUCAGGAUGUCACUGUCUAUUU